This 1440-nucleotide ribosomal RNA is filed under the name uncultured organism. RNAcentral describes it as "16S ribosomal RNA". It matches the Rfam family "Bacterial small subunit ribosomal RNA". The record is from RNAcentral.
AUGAACGCUAGUUACAGGCUUAACACAUGCAAGUCGAGGGGCAUCAGGAAGAAAGCUUGCUUUCUUUGCUGGCGACCGGCGCACGGGUGAGCAACACGUAUCCAACCUGCCCUUUACUCGGGGAUAGCCUUUCGAAAGAAAGAUUAAUACCCGAUAGCAUAAUGAUUCCGCAUGGUUUCAUUAUUAAAGGAUUCCGGUAAAGGAUGGGGAUGCGUUCCAUUAGGUUGUUGGUGAGGUAACGGCCCACCAAGCCUUCGAUGGAUAGGGGUUCUGAGAGGAAGGUCCCCCACAUUGGAACUGAGACACGGUCCAAACUCCUACGGGAGGCAGCAGUGAGGAAUAUUGGUCAAUGGGCGCUAGCCUGAACCAGCCAAGUAGCGUGAAGGAUGAAGGCUCUAUGGGUCGUAAACUUCUUUUAUAUAAGAAUAAAGUGCAGUAUGUAUACUGUUUUGUAUGUAUUAUAUGAAUAAGGAUCGGCUAACUCCGUGCCAGCAGCUGCGGUAAUACGGAGGAUCCGAGCGUUAUCCGGAUUUAUUGGGUUUAAAGGGAGCGUAGGUGGACUGGUAAGUCAGUUGUGAAAGUUUGCGGCUCAACCGUAAAAUUGCAGUUGAUACUGUCAGUCUUGAGUACAGUAGAGGUGGGCGGAAUUCGUGGUGUAGCGGUGAAAUGCUUAGAUAUCACGAAGAACUCCGAUUGCGAAGGCAGCUCACUGGACUGCAACUGACACUGAUGCUCGAAAGUGUGGGUAUCAAACAGGAUUAGAUACCCUGGUAGUCCACACAGUAAACGAUGAAUACUCGCUGUUUGCGAUAUACAGUAAGCGGCCAAGCGAAAGCAUUAAGUAUUCCACCUGGGGAGUACGCCGGCAACGGUGAAACUCAAAGGAAUUGACGGGGGCCCGCACAAGCGGAGGAACAUGUGGUUUAAUUCGAUGAUACGCGAGGAACCUUACCCGGGCUUAAAUUGCAGUGGAAUGAUGUGGAAACAUGUCAGUGAGCAAUCACCGCUGUGAAGGUGCUGCAUGGUUGUCGUCAGCUCGUGCCGUGAGGUGUCGGCUUAAGUGCCAUAACGAGCGCAACCCUUAUCUUUAGUUACUAACAGGUUAUGCUGAGGACUCUAGAGAGACUGCCGUCGUAAGAUGUGAGGAAGGUGGGGAUGACGUCAAAUCAGCACGGCCCUUACGCCCGGGGCUACACACGUGUUACAAUGGGGGGUACAGAAGGCAGCUAGCGGGUGACCGUAUGCUAAUCCCAAAAUCCUCUCUCAGUUCGGAUCGAAGUCUGCAACCCGACUUCGUGAAGCCGGAUUCGCUAGUAAUCGCGCAUCAGCCACGGCGCGGUGAAUACGUUCCCGGGCCUUGUACACACCGCCCGUCAAGCCAUGGGAGCCGGGGGUACCAGAAGUACGUAACCGCAAGGAUCGUCCUAGGGUAAAACUGGU